UCUAGUGUGCUAAGGCUCUGUCAUCCGCUAUUGCCUGUUUUCUGUUUAUAGACGCAUCUAUCAUUUACAGGGGCUAUGAAAGCCAUCUUUAUAAAGCAUUCAUCUCUGUUUUCUUGUCCAUCCUCAUUUCAGGGUUAUGCUGUUUUACUGUGGUAAAAUGUAACGAAGUCCUUAAAGUUCUUUGAUGAAAUGAUUAUUACUAUAGUUUAUGGUUUAUUUUGUCAUCUCUGUUUUCAACAGGAUUGAUUCAGUUCUAGUCUAGUGUUUACAGAAUUUCCACACUCAUUUUGAAGUCCCUCAAGAAUAAAUGUGACAGGGUGAAGGGAGAAGUCUUAACUGAACAAGGAGCUUUUGCUACUACAGCCUUAAGAAAUGGACCCUCGCAGGGCCUUUGUGGUGAAAAUAUACCAGAAGCAUGAGUUCCAGGAGAUUCAGACUGCCCUGACUAUUAAGCAAAGACAGGGCACCUUUGCAGUUUGUGCCAUGUGCUAUCCACUCUCCAAAUUACUAAUUUAAUUCUCAGACCAACUUUAUGAGGUACUUGCACUCUAAUUUUUCUCAUAAUCCUAAUAAGGUAUAAAUGAGGUUAUAUUACUUGCCCGUAUAACUAUGACAUAUAUAUGUGUGUGUGUGUGUGUGUGUGUGUGUAUUAUAUAUAUAUAAUGGAACUUCAAGUGGAACUCAGUGUAUUUCUAGAACACAGGCACCAUGCUGCCUCAUUCUUCACCUGCGUGCUCAAGAUCAGGUGGACUAGCUGAAUAUUGCUAGUGGAAACUCACGUGCAAUCUUUAAGUAUGAAUUAUUCAGCCAGGUGGGACAGAGAGGGCAUAAGUAAGUUCCUAGAGAAUGUGGGGGCUGUGCAGCUUUAUCUGUUGGCUUGUGGACUCAGUAUUUCUUAGUCCCUUACUCAUAAUAUGCCUCAGUCUCCUAUAUUUUUACACUGCCUCUCCCUUCUUACAUGAUUCCUGGUUUUAUUGGUAAGUAUCUCUGUCAUAUUUCUUCCAUAUUUAUUUUUCUUAUCCAAAGAAUUCACCAGUCAAGAGGUUGUAGAAGCCUCACUAUUAUGGUCAUGCAGGGUGAGUGAUUCCAAACAAAAUUCAAGUAUCCUAGCUCCCCUGAGGCCACCCUAGUAAUGCAGGGGAAAGAGGGCUCAGAUGACCAAACAACCAAAGAAAAAGAUGAGAUGGGUCACUCGCAAAAACUGUACUGACAGUACCAAAAAAUGAGCUUUGAAUAGUAGCUAAGCUGCUAUCAAGGAGAGGUUUUUAACUUGAGCCUGAAAAGCUUUUAAAACUUUGUUCUAGUAUAUACUACCUAAUGUUGUGAAAUGGCCUGUUUUUAUUCAAAUAGUAUUUUGAACAAUGAUAAUAAAACUCAAGAGACACCGUGGAAUAAGAAUUAGCAGAUUAUAAAAUGGUUUUAGUGAUAAAGAAUACUUAACAAUCUUGACUGCUUCUUACCAGCUGUGCAAUCUGGAGAAAGUUACUUAAAUUUUCUGUACCUCAACUUUUUUUUUAUAUGAGAAAUGGGUACAGCACCAUUGAUUAUACAGGGUUGUUCUAAUGACCAAAUGGAAUCUGGACAAAGAACUUGAAACAUAGCUGGGAUAUUUAAAGUGGCAUGUGUGAAAAUAGGACUUAUGUGUGUUCAUGUACUUGAGAAGAGCUUGCACAAGAAUUUAGUACUCCACGAAGUUUUUCUCUUUGAAAUCUUUGGAACUUGUGUUAAAGUAACAUUAGUUUAUGAAUUUGUGUAGCAUGGGGGCACAUUACCUUUGUAGUCAUAAUUUCAAGAAGAUGAAAUAAGUUUUUCAACCAAAGUCAUUCAGCUUAAACUAACAAUGUGUUAUUUAAUUCCUGAUAUAUAGUAAGCAACAACAAAAACAUGUAUUAUUUGUGAUUAUGUCUACAUGAGGAAAAUAAGAAAUAAAAUGAUGUUUAAAAAAGGA
Long non-coding RNA from Suricata suricatta (meerkat), 1948 nucleotides. The record is from Ensembl. NCBI's taxonomy places the organism in Eukaryota, Metazoa, Chordata, Mammalia, Carnivora, Herpestidae.